Molecule: ribosomal RNA, 506 nt
Filed under: uncultured bacterium
Lineage: Bacteria
Description: partial 16S ribosomal RNA
Rfam family: Bacterial small subunit ribosomal RNA
Source: RNAcentral
GACGAACGCUGGCGGCGUGCUUAACACAUGCGAGUCGAACGGUGAAGGGACUGGUUUUGCUGGUCCUGGAUGAGUGGCGAACGGGUGAGUAACACGUGAGUAACCUGCCCCCUUCUUCUGGAUAACCGCAUGAAAGUGUGGCUAAUACGGGAUAUUCUGGGUCUGUCGCAUGGUGGGCCUGGGAAAGAUUGCGCCUUUUUUGGUGUUUUUGGUGGGGGAUGGGCUCGCGGCCUAUCAGCUUGUUGGUGGGGUGAUGGCCUACCAAGGCGGUGACGGGUAGCCGGCCUGGGAGGGUGGACGGUCACACUGGGACUGAGACACGGCCCAGACUCCUACGGGAGGCAGCAGUGGGGAAUAUUGCACAAUGGGCGCAAGCCUGAUGCAGCGACGCCGCGUGAGGGAUGGAGGCCUUCGGGUUGUGAACCUCUUUCGCCAGUGAAGCAGGCCUGCCUCUUUUUGUGGGUGGGUUGACGGUAGCUGGAUAAGAAGCGCCGGCUAACUACGUG